RNAcentral lists this microRNA precursor (59 nucleotides) under Strongyloides ratti. Its description in RNAcentral is "microRNA str-mir-8398 precursor". The record is from miRBase by way of RNAcentral. Lineage: Eukaryota; Metazoa; Nematoda; Chromadorea; Rhabditida; Strongyloididae.
AGUUCUUUCUUUUUAGCUUUAGUAUUAUAAUGUAUAUUAAGCUGCCAUGAAAGAACUAA